CAAGUCCGAGCGGAUGAAAGAAGAGCUUGCCUUUCUGAUUCAGCGGCGGACGGGUGAGUAAUGCCUAGGAAUCCGCCUGAUAGUGGGGGACAACGUUUCGAAAGGAACGCUAAUACCGCAUACGUCCUACGGGAGAAAGCAGGGGACCUUCGGGCCUUGCGCUAUCAGAUGAGCCUAGGUCGGAUUAGCUAGUUGGUGAGGUAACGGCUCACCAAGGCGACGAUCCGUAACUGGUCUGAGAGGAUGAUCAGUCACACUGGAACUGAGACACGGUCCAGACUCCUACGGGAGGCAGCAGUGGGGAAUAUUGGACAAUGGGCGAAAGCCUGAUCCAGCCAUGCCGCGUGUGUGAAGAAGGUCUUCGGAUUGUAAAGCACUUUAAGUUGGGAGGAAGGGCAUUAACCUAAUACGUUAGUGUUUUGACGUUACCGACAGAAUAAGCACCGGCUAACUUCGUGCCAGCAGCCGCGGUAAUACGAAGGGUGCAAGCGUUAAUCGGAAUUACUGGGCGUAAAGCGCGCGUAGGUGGUUUGUUAAGUUGAAUGUGAAAGCCCCGGGCUCAACCUGGGAACUGCAUCCAAAACUGGCAAGCUAGAGUAUGGCAGAGGGUGGUGGAAUUUCCUGUGUAGCGGUGAAAUGCGUAGAUAUAGGAAGGAACACCAGUGGCGAAGGCGACCACCUGGGCUAAUACUGACACUGAGGUGCGAAAGCGUGGGGAGCAAACAGGAUUAGAUACCCUGGUAGUCCACGCCCGUAAACGAUGUCGACUAGCCGUUGGGAUCCUUGAGAUCUUAGUGGGCGCAGCUAACGCAUUAAGUCGACCGCCUGGGGAGUACGGCCGCAAGGUUAAAACUCAAAUGAAUUGACGGGGGCCCCGCACAA
This 882-nucleotide ribosomal RNA is filed under the name bacterium enrichment culture clone bHCH1_F11. RNAcentral describes it as "bacterial SSU rRNA". It matches the Rfam family "Bacterial small subunit ribosomal RNA", at positions 58 to 928 of the family's 1533-position model. The record is from RNAcentral.